This 1403-nucleotide ribosomal RNA is filed under the name uncultured bacterium. Its description in RNAcentral is "bacterial SSU rRNA". It matches the Rfam family "Bacterial small subunit ribosomal RNA". The record is from RNAcentral.
CCUUAGAGUUUGAUCCUGGCUCAGGGUGAACGCUAGCUACAGGCUUAACACAUGCAAGUCGAGGGGCAGCAUUUUAGUUUGCUUGCAAACUGAAGAUGGCGACCGGCGCACGGGUGAGUAACACGUAUCCAACCUGCCGAUAACUCCGGGAUAGCCUUUCGAAAGAAAGAUUAAUACCGGAUAGCAUACGAAUAUCGCAUGAUAUUUUUAUUAAAGAAUUUCGGUUAUCGAUGGGGAUGCGUUCCAUUAGUUUGUUGGCGGGGUAACGGCCCACCAAGACUACGAUGGAUAGGGGUUCUGAGAGGAAGGUCCCCCACAUUGGAACUGAGACACGGUCCAAACUCCUACGGGAGGCAGCAGUGAGGAAUAUUGGUCAAUGGGCGCGAGCCUGAACCAGCCAAGUAGCGUGAAGGAUGAAGGCUCUAUGGGUCGUAAACUUCUUUUAUAUGGGAAUAAAGUUUUCCACGUGUGGAAUUUUGUAUGUACCAUAUGAAUAAGGAUCGGCUAACUCCGUGCCAGCAGCCGCGGUAAUACGGAGGAUCCGAGCGUUAUCCGGAUUUAUUGGGUUUAAAGGGAGCGUAGGUGGAUUGUUAAGUCAGUUGUGAAAGUUUGCGGCUCAACCGUAAAAUUGCAGUUGAAACUGGGAGUCUUGAGUACAGUAGAGGUGGGCGGAAUUCGUGGUGUAGCGGUGAAAUGCUUAGAUAUCACGAAGAACUCCGAUUGCGAAGGCAGCUCACUAGACUGUCACUGACACUGAUGCUCGAAAGUGUGGGUAUCAAACAGGAUUAGAUACCCUGGUAGUCCACACAGUAAACGAUGAAUACUCGCUGUUUGCGAUAUACAGUAAGCGGCCAAGCGAAAGCAUUAAGUAUUCCACCUGGGGAGUACGCCGGCAACGGUGAAACUCAAAGGAAUUGACGGGGGCCCGCACAAGCGGAGGAACAUGUGGUUUAAUUCGAUGAUACGCGAGGAACCUUACCCGGGCUUAAAUUGCAACAGAAUAUAUUGGAAACAGUAUAGCCGUAAGGCUGUUGUGAAGGUGCUGCUUGGUUGUCGUCAGCUCGUGCCGUGAGGUGUCGGCUUAAGUGCCAUAACGAGCGCAACCCUUAUCUUUAGUUACUAACAGGUCAUGCUGAGGACUCUAGAGAGACUGCCGUCGUAAGAUGUGAGGAAGGUGGGGAUGACGUCAAAUCAGCACGGCCCUUACGUCCGGGGCUACACACGUGUUACAAUGGGGGGUACAGAAGGCGGCUACCUGGUGACAGGAUGCUAAUCCCAAAAACCUCUCUCAGUUCGGAUCGAAGUCUGCAACCCGACUUCGUGAAGCUGGAUUCGCUAGUAAUCGCGCAUCAGCCAUGGCGCGGUGAAUACGUUCCCGGGCCUUGUACUCACCGCCCGUCAAG